Molecule: unclassified non-coding RNA, 252 nt
Filed under: Pezizaceae sp.
Lineage: Eukaryota; Fungi; Ascomycota; Pezizomycetes; Pezizales; Pezizaceae
Description: partial contains 5.8S ribosomal RNA, internal transcribed spacer 2, and large subunit ribosomal RNA
Source: RNAcentral
CGCACCUUGCGCCAUCUGGUAUUCCGGAUGGCAUGCCUGUCUGAGUGUCGUGUGGACUCGACCGUCUGGUUCUCCGGGCGAUCGGACUUGGGCGUUGCCUCUGGCUCGCCCCAAACGCAUCGGUGUGUGAAGCGCCCGGGCCGGACUCAAGUCCUCUGGCACGUCGUGGACACGCCCACAACCCCGCGGCCGCCGAGAGGCGGUUGCCUUGACCUUGACCUCAGAUCAGGUAGGACUACCCGCUGAACUUAA